ACAGUCCCAGAGAGGCCUGUUUGCUAUUUUUUGCAAAUGCCAGCUGACAGAUCUCUUUCCUUGGCCUUGGGUUGUACAUUAGAGACAGGGAAUAAGACGGCUUUGACUCUCACUUGGGACAUGUAAACAACGCCUUGCCGGCAAGCGUGAGGCAGAAUGAAGCAGGGAGUGUCUGAACACCUGCUUUCUCCCUGCUGCCUCUCAGUGUGACUCCACACUUUCUACUUCUCCCUGAGCUUCGAUUUCUCCUCCAACACUGGAUCAAUAAGCUCAGCAUUCUCCUUCGAGAAGGCAGUGAUAACAAUCAAGUCAGGAUGGUGCCUACAACAACCCGUGGAAGGAGGGAGGGGAAAGGUGUGGACACCUUCUGCCCAAUCUCGAUGAUCUGCCCGCUUUGCUUCUAGGACAUCCGAUGCUCACCAAGCUCUGCCUACAUGCCAGGCCGGUGCUGGCGGGUGGGGACACACGCUGACCAGCACACCGAGCAGUGCCUCUACUCUUUACCAGAAGGUGCCAUUUACAGGUUCCAGGGACGAGGACCCGGAGAUCUUUGGGGGCACUCAUCCAGGCUACUAUGCUUCCAAAAAGGAGACUGAGAAGGCAUGUAAGAGUCUUCAACAGUGACACUGAGCCAGAAGCUACUUCUGAGGGAAGACGUCCUCCAAACUACAACUCUCCACCUGUGUACCAUGGAUCAGAGACCUGCAGCCCACAGCACAACCUGGCCAGAACCGUGAGCAGCAAGAUCACUUACCUCAAUCUCUUCCCACACUCGUGACUUCACUCUCACCCAACAUAAAACUAGCUGAGGGCUGCCAUUCAGUUAAAAUCUGAUGUUCGGGGCAGCCCUGGUGGCUUAGCAGUUUAGUGCUGCCUUCAGCCUGGGGAGUGAUCCUGGAGACCUGGGAUCAAGUCCCAUGUCAGGCUCCCUGCAUGGAGCCUGCUUCUCCCUCUGCCCAUGU
Canis lupus familiaris (dog) is the source of this 962-nucleotide long non-coding RNA. RefSeq lists it as uncharacterized. NCBI's taxonomy places the organism in Eukaryota, Metazoa, Chordata, Mammalia, Carnivora, Canidae. The transcript is spliced from 3 exons. The record is from RefSeq and is a predicted model, not a curated record.